AUUGAACGCUGGCGGAAUGCUUUACACAUGCAAGUCGGGCGGCAGCGCGGGGGCAACCCUGGCGGCGAGCGGCGAACGGGUGAGUAACACAUCGGAACGUACCCUGUCGUGGGGGAUAACGAAUCGAAAGAUUCGCUAAUACCGCAUACGACCUGAGGGUGAAAGCGGGGGAUCGCAAGACCUCGCGCGAGAGGAGCGGCCGAUGGCGGAUUAGCUAGUUGGUGGGGUAAAGGCCCACCAAGGCGACGAUCCGUAGCGGGUCUGAGAGGACGGCCCGCCACACUGGGACUGAGACACGGCCCAGACUCCUACGGGAGGCAGCAGUGGGGAAUUUUGGACAAUGGGGGGCAACCCUGAUCCAGCCAUUCCGCGUGAGUGAAGAAGGCCUCGGUGUAAGCUCUUGCAGACGAACGCGGCUCGUAACAUAGCCUGUCAAUGACGGUACCUGAAGAAGAAGACACCGGCUAAC
RNAcentral lists this ribosomal RNA (469 nucleotides) under uncultured bacterium. RNAcentral describes it as "bacterial SSU rRNA". It matches the Rfam family "Bacterial small subunit ribosomal RNA", at positions 29 to 501 of the family's 1533-position model. The record is from RNAcentral.